Lolium perenne is the source of this 1491-nucleotide non-coding RNA. The record is from RefSeq and is a predicted model, not a curated record. NCBI's taxonomy places the organism in Eukaryota, Viridiplantae, Streptophyta, Magnoliopsida, Poales, Poaceae.
CGCCCACCCUCCUCACCAAUCCUCGUCUCACCUUCUCCCCAAUCGCCGGCCGACUUCUCUCCUCCGCUCCAUCCCCACAUAAUGUUGCAGAGGGCACUAUAAGUGGAGGAGGCCAGCGGCGCGCCGCCUCUCCCCCGAGAUCGAGCCGGUCGUGGGCAGGAUGAGGUGCUGUAGGAGCGCACAUAGAGGAGGAGGGGGUCGGUGACGCCUCGUCCUCUCCUCUUCCCCGUCCUCUCAUCUUCCUCCGUCCUUGACGUCAACAUCCGGCCUCGCAGCUCGCAUCCGACCACACCAAGGUCGAUCCCCUUAUCGUCUCCAUUCUCCGCCUCGAUCUAGAAAUUGGGUCGCGAAUGAGGCAGGGGCGUGCCUUGGUGGAAGGAGGAGGGGCGGCCUACGGGCGGGUCCGGGACGGGAUCGCGCGGGGCGGAUCCACGGCGGCGGCGACUGGAGGCUACGGGCACGGCCGGAGACGGGCCGGCGCGGGGUGGAUCCGCUCCGGCGACGACCGGAGGCGACGGGCUCGUGCGGGGCGGAUCCGCGGUGAUGGCGACUGGAGGCGCCGGGCGCGGCCGAAGAUGGGCCGACGCGGGGCGGAUUCGCUCCAGCGACGGGCGCGGCCGGAGACAUGCCAGCCGGAGGUGGAGGAGCAGUAAGGGGCGGCGCUGGGACGGCGGAGCACAUCAGCAUCUCGUAGCUCGUCAAUUCUUUAUGCAGAGAGGCUGAGCUAACGCUGAUUUCCUGCGUGCUGUGUAGGAGGGGCUGUCCAGGUCGAAGUCGUUGACAUCGCUGGCCGCGGUGGACUCCCUGGAGGAUCUGGCCAAGACGGCUAGGAAGCGCAGCGCCUCGACAUACGACCACGACUCUGUCCGAGCCAUUCUCCUGAAAAAGGUCGAGGAGCUAAGAGAGUAGGUGCCUACUGGGAGAGUACAGAGUACCCAGAUGACAAACAACCUUCACGAGAGGUAGCCUGAUCUUGAGAAUAGCCAAGUCUGCAAUGGGGUUACGGUUUUCAUUGCCCCAAGAGCAUUUGGAAACCUUGUUUUCAUGACUGUAGGAGACGAAUCAGGGAUUAUCCAGUGUGAUCUUUGAACGGUUUUUUCACGGGAAAAACGCGGUGACAACAGCAGCUGCCGAACGGCCAUCUUCGGUGGACGCUCCUAUGAGCUCACGUCAUCGUGGUAGACUGGUAGUGCAGCGACGCCGCUCCAGACAAUGCCUAGGAGACGUCUUCAGGUUAGACGGUGGCAGGAUGGAGCUUUGAGGACCUCCAGUUUGGUGGCGGUAUGCGUGUAAAAUGGAGGAAGUGGUUACACUAUCUAUUUUAAACAUGCAGCAGGCAAAAAAUAAGUUGCUGGAUCGACGCAUGCUUUGCUCCUGUGCUCCUCUGUCCGUGCUAAGAGCAGUUGAUCGUUCCUCGACUGAAGUUACUCUUGUGUAUAAUGAUAGAGGGUCAUCCCCUUUUGGAGGGUGAAUUUGACGAGCAUUCCAAUU